Molecule: ribosomal RNA, 1416 nt
Filed under: Microbacterium oxydans
Lineage: Bacteria; Bacillati; Actinomycetota; Actinomycetes; Micrococcales; Microbacteriaceae
Description: 16S ribosomal RNA
Rfam family: Bacterial small subunit ribosomal RNA
Source: RNAcentral
GAUGAACGCUGGCGGCGUGCUUAACACAUGCAAGUCGAACGGUGAAGGAGAGCUUGCUCUUUGGAUCAGUGGCGAACGGGUGAGUAACACGUGAGCAAUCUGCCCCUGACUCUGGGAUAACAGUUGGAAACAGCUGCUAAUACCGGAUAUGAGACGUGACCGCAUGGUCGACGUUUGGAAAGAAUUUCGGUCAGGGAUGAGCUCGCGGCCUAUCAGCUUGUUGGUGAGGUAAUGGCUCACCAAGGCGUCGACGGGUAGCCGGCCUGAGAGGGUGACCGGCCACACUGGGACUGAGACACGGCCCAGACUCCUACGGGAGGCAGCAGUGGGGAAUAUUGCACAAUGGGCGAAAGCCUGAUGCAGCAACGCCGCGUGAGGGACGACGGCCUUCGGGUUGUAAACCUCUUUUAGCAGGGAAGAAGCGAAAGUGACGGUACCUGCAGAAAAAGCGCCGGCUAACUACGUGCCAGCAGCCGCGGUAAUACGUAGGGCGCAAGCGUUAUCCGGAAUUAUUGGGCGUAAAGAGCUCGUAGGCGGUUUGUCGCGUCUGCUGUGAAAACUGGAGGCUCAACCUCCAGCCUGCAGUGGGUACGGGCAGACUAGAGUGCGGUAGGGGAGAUUGGAAUUCCUGGUGUAGCGGUGGAAUGCGCAGAUAUCAGGAGGAACACCGAUGGCGAAGGCAGAUCUCUGGGCCGUAACUGACGCUGAGGAGCGAAAGGGUGGGGAGCAAACAGGCUUAGAUACCCUGGUAGUCCACCCCGUAAACGUUGGGAACUAGUUGUGGGGUCCAUUCCACGGAUUCCGUGACGCAGCUAACGCAUUAAGUUCCCCGCCUGGGGAGUACGGCCGCAAGGCUAAAACUCAAAGGAAUUGACGGGGACCCGCACAAGCGGCGGAGCAUGCGGAUUAAUUCGAUGCAACGCGAAGAACCUUACCAAGGCUUGACAUAUACGAGAACGGGCUAGAAAUAGUCAACUCUUGGGACACUCGUAAACAGUGGUGCAUGUUGUCGUCAGCUCGUGUCGUGAGAUGUUGGGUUAAGUCCCGCAACGAGCGCAACCCUCGUUCUAUGUUGCCAGCACGUAAUGGUGGGAACUCAUGGGAUACUGCCGGGGUCAACUCGGAGGAAGGUGGGGAUGACGUCAAAUCAUCAUGCCCCUUAUGUCUUGGGCUUCACGCAUGCUACAAUGGCCGGUACAAAGGGCUGCAAUACCGUAAGGUGGAGCGAAUCCCAAAAAGCCGGUCCCAGUUCGGAUUGAGGUCUGCAACUCGACCUCAUGAAGUCGGAGUCGCUAGUAAUCGCAGAUCAGCAACGCUGCGGUGAAUACGUUCCCGGGUCUUGUACACACCGCCCGUCAAGUCAUGAAAGUCGGUAACACCUGAAGCCGGUGGCCCAACCCUUGUGGAGGGAGCCGU